GAUCAUGGCUCAGGAUGAACGCUGGCGGCGUGCUUAAUACAUGCAAGUCGAACGAAGCACCUUGGACAGAAUCCUUCGGGAGGAAGACCAUUGUGACUGAGUGGCGGACGGGUGAGUAACGCGUGGGUAACCUGCCUUGUACAGGGGGAUAACAGUUGGAAACGACUACUAAUACCGCAUAAGCGCACAGUACCGCAUGGUACGGUGUGAAAAACUCCGGUGGUACAAGAUGGACCCGCGUCUGAUUAG
RNAcentral lists this ribosomal RNA (249 nucleotides) under uncultured bacterium. RNAcentral describes it as "partial 16S ribosomal RNA". It matches the Rfam family "Bacterial small subunit ribosomal RNA", at positions 15 to 244 of the family's 1533-position model. The record is from RNAcentral.